UACAGAGGGUGCAAGCGUUGUUCGGAAUUAUUGGGCGUAAAGCGCGUGUAGGCGGCAUGGCAAGUCGGGUGUGAAAGCCCUCAGCUUAACUGAGGAAGUGCGCCCGAAACUGCCGUGCUUGAGUGCCGGAGAGGGUGGCGGAAUUCCCCAAGUAGAGGUGAAAUUCGUAGAUAUGGGGAGGAACACCGGUGGCGAAGGCGGCCACCUGGACGGUAACUGACGCCGAGACGCGAAAGCGUGGGGAGCAAACAGG
RNAcentral lists this ribosomal RNA (253 nucleotides) under uncultured bacterium. RNAcentral describes it as "partial 16S ribosomal RNA". It matches the Rfam family "Bacterial small subunit ribosomal RNA", at positions 524 to 776 of the family's 1533-position model. The record is from RNAcentral.